AGUGAACGCUGGCGGUAGGCCUAACACAUGCAAGUCGAACGGCAGCACAGUAAGAGCUUGCUCUUACGGGUGGCGAGUGGCGGACGGGUGAGGAAUACAUCGGAAUCUACUUUUUCGUGGGGGAUAACGUAGGUAAACUUACUCUAAUACCGCAUACGACCUACGGUUGAAAGCAGGGGAUCUUCGGACCUUGCGCGAUUGAAUGAGCCGAUGUCGGAUUAGCUAGUUGGCGGGGUAAAGGCCCACCAAGGCGACGAUCCGUAGCUGGUCUGAGAGGAUGAGCAGCCACACUGGAACUGAGACACGGUCCAGACUCCUAAGGGAGGCAGCAGUGGGGAAUAUUGGACAAUGGGCGAAAGCCUGAUCAAGCCAUACCGCGUGGGUGAAGAAGGCCUUCGGGUUGUAAAGCCCUUUUGUUGGGAAAGAAAAGCAGCAGGUUAAUACCCCGCUGUUCUGACGGUACCCAAAGAAUAAGCACCGGCUAACUUCGUG
RNAcentral lists this ribosomal RNA (492 nucleotides) under uncultured bacterium. RNAcentral's name for it is "partial 16S ribosomal RNA". It matches the Rfam family "Bacterial small subunit ribosomal RNA", at positions 29 to 507 of the family's 1533-position model. The record is from RNAcentral.